This 803-nucleotide ribosomal RNA is filed under the name Brevundimonas sp. Its description in RNAcentral is "bacterial SSU rRNA". It matches the Rfam family "Bacterial small subunit ribosomal RNA", at positions 66 to 916 of the family's 1533-position model. Lineage: Bacteria; Pseudomonadati; Pseudomonadota; Alphaproteobacteria; Caulobacterales; Caulobacteraceae. The record is from RNAcentral.
ACGGAUCCUUCGGGAUUAGUGGCGGACGGGUGAGUAACACGUGGGAACGUGCCUUUUGGUUCGGAAUAGCUCCUGGAAACGGGUGGUAAUGCCGAAUGUGCCCUUCGGGGGAAAGAUUUAUCGCCAUUAGAGCGGCCCGCGUCUGAUUAGCUAGUUGGUGAGGUAAAGGCUCACCAAGGCGACGAUCAGUAGCUGGUCUGAGAGGAUGACCAGCCACAUUGGGACUGAGACACGGCCCAAACUCCUACGGGAGGCAGCAGUGGGGAAUCUUGCGCAAUGGGCGAAAGCCUGACGCAGCCAUGCCGCGUGAAUGAUGAAGGUCUUAGGAUUGUAAAAUUCUUUCACCGGGGACGAUAAUGACGGUACCCGGAGAAGAAGCCCCGGCUAACUUCGUGCCAGCAGCCGCGGUAAUACGAAGGGGGCUAGCGUUGCUCGGAAUUACUGGGCGUAAAGGGAGCGUAGGCGGACAUUUAAGUCAGGGGUGAAAUCCCAGAGCUCAACUCUGGAACUGCCUUUGAUACUGGGUGUCUUGAGUGUGAUAGAGGUAUGUGGAACUCCGAGUGUAGAGGUGAAAUUCGUAGAUAUUCGGAAGAACACCAGUGGCGAAGGCGACAUACUGGAUCAUUACUGACGCUGAGGCUCGAAAGCGUGGGGAGCAAACAGGAUUAGAUACCCUGGUAGUCCACGCCGUAAACGAUGAUUGCUAGUUGUUGGGAUGUUUACAUCUCGGUGACGCAGCUAACGCAUUAAGCAAUCCGCCUGGUGAGUACGGUCGCAAGAUUACAACUCAUAGGAAUUGACGG